Molecule: ribosomal RNA, 858 nt
Filed under: uncultured bacterium
Lineage: Bacteria
Description: SSU rRNA
Rfam family: Bacterial small subunit ribosomal RNA
Source: RNAcentral
UACGAAGGGACCUAGCGUAGUUCGGAAUUACUGGGCGUAAAGCGCGCGUAGGCCGUUGAGUUAGUUAAUUGUGAAAUCCCAAAGCUUAACUUUGGAACUGCAAUUAAAACUGCUCGACUAGAGUUUGAUAGAGGAAAGCGGAAUACAUAGUGUAGAGGUGAAAUUCGUAGAUAUUAUGUAAAACACCAGUUGCGAAGGCGGCUUUCUGGAUCAACACUGACGCUGAGGCGCGAAAGUAUGGGUAGCAAAGAGGAUUAGAUACCCUCGUAGUCCAUACCAUAAACGAUGAUUGCUAGAUGUUGGAAAUUUAUUUUCAGUAUCGCAGCUAACGCAUUAAGCAAUCCGCCUGGGGAGUACGACCGCAAGGUUAAAACUCAAAUGAAUUGACGGGGACCCGCACAAGCGGUGGAGCAUGUGGUUUAAUUCGAAGAUACGCGCAGAACCUUACCAACCCUUGACAUGUCUGUCGCGAGUUUAGGAAACUAGACUUUUCGGUUCGGCCGGACAGAACACAGGUGCUGCAUGGCUGUCGUCAGCUCGUGUCGUGAGAUGUUGGGUUAAGUCCCGCAACGAGCGCAACCCCUACUUUUAGUUGCCAUCAGGUCAUGCUGGGCACUCUGAAAGAACUGCCAGUGAUAAGCUGGAGGAAGGUGGGGAUGACGUCAAGUCCUCAUGGCCCUUACGGGUUGGGCUACACACGUGCUACAAUGGUAGUGACAAUGAGAUGCAAGGUGGCGACGCUAAGCUAAACUCAAAAAUCUACCUCAGUUCGGAUUGCACUCUGCAACUCGAGUGCAUGAAGCUGGAAUCGCUAGUAAUCGUAGAUCAGCGUGCUACGGUGAAUACGUUCCCGGGUCU